Molecule: ribosomal RNA, 261 nt
Filed under: uncultured archaeon
Lineage: Archaea
Description: partial 16S ribosomal RNA
Rfam family: Archaeal small subunit ribosomal RNA
Source: RNAcentral
UAGCCGUAAACGAUACUCGCUAGGUGUCGGCCACGGUGCGACCGUUGUCGGUGCCGUAGGGAAGCCGUGAAGCGAGCCGCCUGGGAAGUACGGCCGCAAGGCUGAAACUUAAAGGAAUUGGCGGGGGAGCACCACAACGGGUGGAGCUUGCGGUUUAAUUGGAUUCAACGCCGGAAAUCUUACCGGGACCGACAGCAACAUGAAGGCCAGGCUGAAGACUUUGCCGGAUUAGCUGAGAGGAGGUGCAUGGCGUAGUCGUGU